UGCAGUCGACGAUGAAGCGGUGCUUGCACCGUGGAUUAGUGGCGAACGGGUGAGUAACACGUGAGUAACCUGCCCAAGACUCUGGGAUAAGCCUGGGAAACUGGGUCUAAUACUGGAUAUGACCAUUGGACGCAUGUUCUGGUGGUGGAAAGCUUUUGUGGUUUUGGAUGGACUCGCGGCCUAUCAGCUUGAUGGUGGGGUAAUGGCCUACCAUGGCUUUGACGGGUAGCCGGCCUGAGAGGGUGACCGGCCACACUGGGACUGAGACACGGCCCAGACUCCUACGGGAGGCAGCAGUGGGGAAUAUUGCACAAUGGGCGAAAGCCUGAUGCAGCGACGCCGCGUGAGGGAUGACGGCCUUCGGGUUGUAAACCUCUUUCAGUAGGGAACAAGGCUAGUUUUGCUAGUUGAGGGUACCUGCAGAAGAAGCACCGGCUAACUACGUGCCAGCAGCCGCGGUAAUACGUAGGGUGCGAGCGUUAUCCGGAAUUAUUGGGCGUAAAGAGCUCGUAGGCGGUUUGUCGCGUCUGCCGUGAAAGUCCGGGGCUUAACCCCGGAUCUGCGGUGGGUACGGGCAGACUAGAGUGAUGUAGGGGAGACUGGAAUUCCUGGUGUAGCGGUGGAAUGCGCAGAUAUCAGGAGGAACACCGAUGGCGAAGGCAGGUCUCUGGGCAUUAACUGACGCUGAGGAGCGAAAGCAUGGGGAGCGAACAGGAUUAGAUACCCUGGUAGUCCAUGCCGUAAACGUUGGGCAC
RNAcentral lists this ribosomal RNA (755 nucleotides) under Acaricomes phytoseiuli. RNAcentral's name for it is "bacterial SSU rRNA". It matches the Rfam family "Bacterial small subunit ribosomal RNA", at positions 56 to 816 of the family's 1533-position model. Lineage: Bacteria; Bacillati; Actinomycetota; Actinomycetes; Micrococcales; Micrococcaceae. The record is from RNAcentral.